AACGCACGAGACCUGCGGACCUGCGGAGGGAUCAUUAAUGAGAAGCUGCCCCUCGUGGGUAGACCUCCCACCCUCUGUGAACUUACCUUUGUUGCUUUGGCAGGCCCGUCCUCUGGACCGCCGGCUUCGGCUGGCCCGCGCCUGCCAGAGGAUUCCAAACCCUGUCUGUCAGUGUUGUCUGAGUCUAUAUGAAAUCGUUAAAACUUUCAACAAUGGAUCUCUAGAUCGGAAGAGCACACG
This 240-nucleotide unclassified non-coding RNA is filed under the name soil metagenome. RNAcentral describes it as "partial contains 5.8S ribosomal RNA, internal transcribed spacer 2, and large subunit ribosomal RNA". The record is from RNAcentral.